Molecule: ribosomal RNA, 253 nt
Filed under: uncultured bacterium
Lineage: Bacteria
Description: partial 16S ribosomal RNA
Rfam family: Bacterial small subunit ribosomal RNA
Source: RNAcentral
UACGUAGGGUGCAAGCGUUAAUCGGAAUCACUGGGCGUAAAGCGUCUGUAGGUGGUUUAAUAAGUCAACUGUUAAAUCUUGAGGCUCAACCUCAAAAUCGCAGUCGAAACUAUUAGGCUAGAGUAUAGUAGGGGUAAAGGGAAUUUCCAGUGGAGCGGUGAAAUGCGUAGAGAUUGGAAAGAACACCGAUGGCGAAGGCACUUUACUGGGCUAUUACUAACACUCAGAGACGAAAGCUAGGGUAGCAAAUGGG